UGCAAGUCGAGCGGAAAUUUUAUUGGUGCUUGCACCUUUAAAAUUUUAGCGGCGGACGGGUGAGUAACACGUGGGUAACCUACCUUAUAGAUUGGGAUAACUCCGGGAAACCGGGGCUAAUACCGAAUAAUACUUUUUAACACAUGUUUGAAAGUUGAAAGACGGUUUCGGCUGUCACUAUAAGAUGGACCCGCGGCGCAUUAGCUAGUUGGUGAGGUAACGGCUCACCAAGGCAACGAUGCGUAGCCGACCUGAGAGGGUGAUCGGCCACACUGGGACUGAGACACGGCCCAGACUCCUACGGGAGGCAGCAGUAGGGAAUCUUCCACAAUGGACGAAAGUCUGAUGGAGCAACGCCGCGUGAGUGAAGAAGGAUUUCGGUUCGUAAAACUCUGUUGCAAGGGAAGAACAAGUAGCGUAGUAACUGGCGCWACCUUGACGGUACCUUGUUAGAAAGCCACGGCUAACWACGUGCCAGCAGCCGCGGUAAUACGUAGGUGGCAAGCGUUGUCCGGAAUUAUUGGGCGUAAAGCGCGCGCAGGUGGUUCCUUAAGUCUGAUGUGAAAGCCCCCGGCUCAACCGGGGAGGGUCAUUGGAAACUGGGGAACUUGAGUGCAGAAGAGGAUAGUGGAAUUCCAAGUGUAGCGGUGAAAUGCGUAGAGAUUUGGAGGAACACCAGUGGCGAAGGCGACUGUCUGGUCUGUAACUGACACUGAGGCGCGAAAGCGUGGGGAGCAAACRGGAUUAGAUACCCUGGU
This 758-nucleotide ribosomal RNA is filed under the name Bacillus sp. 808B5_12ACASO. RNAcentral describes it as "bacterial SSU rRNA". It matches the Rfam family "Bacterial small subunit ribosomal RNA", at positions 56 to 791 of the family's 1533-position model. The record is from RNAcentral. Lineage: Bacteria; Bacillati; Bacillota; Bacilli; Caryophanales; Bacillaceae.